GGCCUAUUGAAAGAAGAUUUUAGGUCUAGCCUGCCCCCUGAUAUAUUUAAAUGGCCGCAGUAUUUUGACUGUGCUAAGGUAGCAUAAUAAUUAGUUUUUUAAUUGAAAGCUAGAAUGAAUGGUAAUAUGAAAAAAUUACUGUCUCUUUUAAAAAAUUAUAAUUUUAUUUUUAAGUUAAAAAGCUUAAAUAUUAUUAAAAGACGAGAAGACCCUAUAGAAUUUUAUUUAAAUUAAUUUUUAAUAAGUUAGUAUAUAAAAUUUAAAAGUAAAUUUUUAUUUAGUUGGGGUGAUUAGAAAAAUUAAGUAUCUUUUUUUUAUAUAAACAUUAAUUUAUGAUUUUAUGAUUCACAUUAGUGAUUUAAGAAUAAAUUACCUUAGGGAUAACAGCGUAAUUUUUUUUUAGAGUUCUAAUCAAAAAGAAAGAUUGCGACCUCGAUGUUGGAUUAAAAUUUAUUUUUGGUGUAGUAGCUAAAAUAUUAAGUCUGUUCGACUUUUAAAAUUUUACA
Molecule: ribosomal RNA, 506 nt
Filed under: Plateumaris metallica
Lineage: Eukaryota; Metazoa; Arthropoda; Insecta; Coleoptera; Chrysomelidae
Description: partial 16S ribosomal RNA
Rfam family: Bacterial large subunit ribosomal RNA (bases 380-506)
Source: RNAcentral